GUCAGGUGCAGUGGCAUGCAUUUGUAAUCCCAGUGACUCAGGAGGCUGGGACAGGAGGAUCACAAGUUUGAGGUCAGCCUCAGCAUCUUAGUGAGACCCUGUCUCAA
This 107-nucleotide small RNA is filed under the name Marmota monax (woodchuck). Lineage: Eukaryota; Metazoa; Chordata; Mammalia; Rodentia; Sciuridae. The record is from RNAcentral.